UACAGAGGUCUCAAGCGUUGUUCGGAUUCAUCGGGCGUAAAGGGUGCGUAGGUGGCGGGGUAAGUCAGGUGUGAAAUCUCGAGGCUCAACCUCGAAACUGCACUUGAUACUGCCUUGCUCGAGUACUGGAGAGGAGAUUGGAAUUUACGGUGUAGCAGUGAAAUGCGUAGAUAUCGUAAGGAAGACCAGUGGCGAAGGCGAAUCUCUGGACAGUUACUGACACUGAGGCACGAAGGCCAGGGGAGCAAACGGG
RNAcentral lists this ribosomal RNA (253 nucleotides) under uncultured bacterium. RNAcentral describes it as "partial 16S ribosomal RNA". It matches the Rfam family "Bacterial small subunit ribosomal RNA", at positions 524 to 776 of the family's 1533-position model. The record is from RNAcentral.